RNAcentral lists this ribosomal RNA (253 nucleotides) under uncultured bacterium. RNAcentral's name for it is "partial 16S ribosomal RNA". It matches the Rfam family "Bacterial small subunit ribosomal RNA", at positions 524 to 776 of the family's 1533-position model. The record is from RNAcentral.
UACGUAGGUGGCAAGCGUUGUCCGGAUUUAUUGGGUUUAAAGGGUGCGUAGGCGGCCCUGUAAGUCAGUGGUGAAAUACUCCAGCUUAACUGGAGGGGUGCCAUUGAUACUGCAGGGCUUGAGUGGAGUCGAAGUAGGCGGAAUUGACGGUGUAGCGGUGAAAUGCAUAGAUAUGACCCGGAACACCUAUUGCGAAGGCAGCAGGCUAAGCGAAGAUUGACGCUGAGGCUCGAAAGCGUGGGGAUCAAACAGG